CAAUAGCGUAUAUUAAAGUUGUUGCAGUUAAAAAGCUCGUAGUUGAAACUUGGGCCUGGCUGGCGGGUCCGCCUCACCGCGUGCACUCGUCCGGCCGGGCCUUCCUUCUGAAGAACCUCAUGCCCUUCACUGGGCGUGCUGGGGAAUCAGGACUUUUACUUUGAAAAAAUUGGAGUGUUCAAAGCAGGCCUUUGCUCGAAUACGUUAGCAUGGAAUAAUAAAAUAGGACGUGCGGUUCUAUUUUGUUGGUUUUUGGAAUCGCCGUAAUGAUUAAUAGGGACAGUCGGGGGCAUUAGUACUCACAUGCUAGAGGUGAAAUUCUUGGAUUUUGUGAAGACUAACUUCUGCGAAAGCAUUUGACAAGGAUGUUUUCAUUAA
This 378-nucleotide ribosomal RNA is filed under the name uncultured eukaryote. Its description in RNAcentral is "partial 18S ribosomal RNA". It matches the Rfam family "Eukaryotic small subunit ribosomal RNA", at positions 592 to 976 of the family's 1831-position model. The record is from RNAcentral.